Molecule: ribosomal RNA, 700 nt
Filed under: Bacillus tequilensis
Lineage: Bacteria; Bacillati; Bacillota; Bacilli; Caryophanales; Bacillaceae
Description: bacterial SSU rRNA
Rfam family: Bacterial small subunit ribosomal RNA
Source: RNAcentral
ACCGGUUGGCGGCGUGCUAUCAUGCAGUCGAGCGGACAGAUGGGAGCUUGCUCCCUGAUGUUAGCGGCGGACGGGUGAGUACACGUGGGUAACCUGCCUGUAAGACUGGGAUAACUCCGGGAAACCGGGGCUAAUACCGGAUGGUUGUUUGAACCGCAUGGUUCAACAUAAAAGGUGGCUUCGGCUACCACUUACAGAUGGACCCGCGGCGCAUUAGCUAGUUGGUGAGGUAACGGCUCACCAAGGCAACGAUGCGUAGCCGACCUGAGAGGGUGAUCGGCCACACUGGGACUGAGACACGGCCCAGACUCCUACGGGAGGCAGCAGUAGGGAAUCUUCCGCAAUGGACGAAAGUCUGACGGAGCAACGCCGCGUGAGUGAUGAAGGUUUUCGGAUCGUAAAGCUCUGUUGUUAGGGAAGAACAAGUACCGUUCGAAUAGGGCGGUACCUUGACGGUACCUAACCAGAAAGCCACGGCUAACUACGUGCCAGCAGCCGCGGUAAUACGUAGGUGGCAAGCGUUGUCCGGAAUUAUUGGGCGUAAGGGCUCGCAGCGGUUUCUUAAGUCUGAUGUGAAAGCCCCCGGCUCACCCGGGGAGGGUCAUUGGAAACUGGGGAACUUGAGUGCAGAAGAGGAGAGUGAAUUCACGUGUAGCGGUGAAAUGCGUAGAGAUGUGGAAGGAACACCAGUUGGCGAAGC